This 1187-nucleotide long non-coding RNA is filed under the name Triticum aestivum (bread wheat). RNAcentral's name for it is "long non-coding RNA (TAES_LNC012703)". The record is from RNAcentral. Lineage: Eukaryota; Viridiplantae; Streptophyta; Magnoliopsida; Poales; Poaceae.
UUGGCAUGGGUGCUAGCUUAGGUCCCUUCUACUACUACUCCACUUAGUAAAUUGUCUAUAUUCUAUUACUUUGUACCUAUGUGUGUGAGCUGUGUUAUAUUCAUCUUCCUCAAGUACUACAACACUGGUAGUUGUACACAUAUGAUGGUGAUUCGCUCCGGCCAUUCCAGUUUUGGCGGUGGUGGUGCUGCUGCUCCUAUGAUGGUAGACUCAUCUGAUUCCCCUAGCCGCAUCCAUGGUGAUGAAGCUCGGCCUAGGCUAGAACCCCCUCCAGUGAGCUCCUCAAGUCCUCUUAUACCCCUCCUACUUGCUUCUUGGUUCUAUGCCCUGCCUUUGUGAGGUGUAAUUGUUCAAUUUUGUUCAUAGUCGAGCAUUGGAUGAUAUUGUAUUUGUCAUGAUGUACAUGGUUCAUGAACUAUGCCAACCUGCAGCUUUGUUGAACUAGUGAUAGUAGGAUAAUGCAAGUUUUGACAAUCCAUGCAUAUUUUCGCAUCAUAAUAAUCUUCUUCUUCUAGUCUUCUUCUUCUAACUUUCUUCUUCCCAUUUUACAGAUUUGCUUAAGAUCACGGAAGCUUGGGUUGAUGGAGUGCUUGUAUUUAGUUUUUGUUUUGACCUUGUGAAACUUGCUAUCUAUGGAUGAAACUGUGUAAUAUUGAUGAAACUAUGUAUAUGUAUGGAUGAAACUUGCUACUAUUGGUAACAUGUGUUGGAUAUAUAUGUGUUCAUGACUAUUGGUAAUAUGUGUUGAAUAUGCUAUAUUGGUCAUAUAAAUAUAUUUGUGUUUGAUUUUCUAUGAAAAGGAACUGAUAUAAGAAAAAAAAAAUUAAAUGGGGCAAUAUUGUCACUUUGCCAUCUGCUGGCAGAUGGCAAAGAGCUUUGACAUCAGCUGGCAGAUGGCAAAGAGGCCACGUGUCAUCUACAUGUAAAAUUUGGGCUGGCCUAUUUGGGCUCUUUGCCAUCUGCCAGCAGAUGGCAAAGCUCUUUNNNNNNNNNNUAGGAUAAUGCAAGUUUUGACAAUCCAUGCAUAUUUUCGCAUCAUAAUAAUCUUCUUCUUCUAGUCUUCUUCUUCUAACUUUCUUCUUCCCAUUUUACAGAUUUGCUUAAGAUCACGGAAGCUUGGGUUGAUGGAGUGCUUGUAUUUAGUUUUUGUUUUGACCUUGUGAAACUUGCUAUCUAUGGAUGAAACU